Molecule: ribosomal RNA, 267 nt
Filed under: uncultured bacterium
Lineage: Bacteria
Description: partial 16S ribosomal RNA
Rfam family: Bacterial small subunit ribosomal RNA
Source: RNAcentral
UACGGAGGGGUUAGCGUUGUUCGGAAUUACUGGGCGUAAAGCGCGCGUAGGCGGACUAUUAAGUCAGGGUGAAAUCCCGGGCUCAACCCCGGAACUGCCUUUGAUACUGGUAGUCUUGAGUUCGAGAGAGGUGAGUGGAACUCCGAGUGUAGAGGUGAAAUUCGUAGAUAUUCGGAAGAACACCAGUGGCGAAGGCGCUCACUGGCUCGAUACUGACGCUGAGGUGCGAAAGUGUGGGAGCAAACAGGAUUAGAUACCCCGGUAGUC